This 75-nucleotide transfer RNA is filed under the name Caulobacteraceae bacterium. RNAcentral's name for it is "tRNA-Thr". It matches the Rfam family "tRNA". Rfam says of the family: Transfer RNA (tRNA) molecules are approximately 80 nucleotides in length. The record is from RNAcentral. Lineage: Bacteria; Pseudomonadati; Pseudomonadota; Alphaproteobacteria; Caulobacterales; Caulobacteraceae.
GCUGCCGUAGCUCAGUGGUAGAGCGCAUCCUUGGUAAGGCUGAGGUCCACAGUUCGAUCCUGUGCGGCGGCGCCA